CAACAGCUGUAAUGUGAAAGGGCCAUGCCAAGAACAACAGAGCACAGUGGAGUUCCUGUCCCUUCUAGGAGGACAGCUGAAGCUGUGGCCGGAUUUAACAACAAAACAAAACAAACAAAAAUCCAGGCCAAGGUUUUUAAGAUGAAAGGAAAAAAUACAGUAAUUAGAAUUCAGAAAUUAAAAAGUACUCUCUAUAGAAAGGUGCCCAGGCUGCUUAGUGGACUCUUGGCUCCUUUUCACUGGUGAAGAAAAACAAACAUCAAGUGUACUACUUUUCUUCCCGGAAUUAGGGAAAUAUUUUCCAAGUCCAUCUUGUGCAUGGCUCCUGUAUUGAGACCUUAUUCGGACUAUGUCUGUCCUUCUGUACUGGAAAACUGAUCUGCGAGAAUUACUCUGAUGCGUGCCUUCGCUACUUUUCUUCUGUUUUAAUACUUCGCAUAUAUAUAUAUGCAUACAUACAUACACCAAGCUUUGCUUUAAUUCAGUUAGGUUUGUCUGGAAUAUACUUUGACACAUGAAUAAAAAUGUUUCCGAUUUUCUUC
Long non-coding RNA from Mus musculus (house mouse), 542 nucleotides. RefSeq annotates it as predicted gene, 52613. The transcript is spliced from 2 exons. The record is from RefSeq and is a predicted model, not a curated record. NCBI's taxonomy places the organism in Eukaryota, Metazoa, Chordata, Mammalia, Rodentia, Muridae.